GCCCACCUGCCUCAGGUCCUGAAGCCCGUUUGUGCCUGGAGCCCAUGCUCCACAGCAAGAAAAGCCAUCGCAGUGAGCAGUGGGCACACUGCACCUCCGCUCACCACAACCAGAGAAAGCUUCUGCAGCUACGGAGACCCAGCACAGCCAAACACUUUAAUUAAAAAUCUGAACGCUCCCUCUCUUAGCACAUUCUUGGCUCAGCCUGGGGCCACGACCACCUUCCCAGCAAGUCCCCCUGCCUCCCCAGCCACCCCUCCCAUUCCAGGCUCCUUGGGAGAUUCCUUCUUCCUUGGGCUUCCCUGGUGGCUCGGUGAAGAAUCUGCCUGCAAUGCAGAAGUGGGUUGGGUCCCUGGAUUGGGCAAAUUCCCCUGGAAAAGGGAAGGGCUACUCCAGUAUUCUUGCCUGGAGAAUUUGCACACCUCCCCCACCCCAUCCCCAUUCCUUCAGGGGCCCCAGGAGACGCCCACAGGCCCUGUAAGGGGGCAGGGCCAACUGGAAAGCAACCGGCCCCACGAGUACUACAGCCUACUUGGGAGCGCCAAGCCACACGGUGCGCACGGCAUGCGGCCUGGGAAACCACCUGUCUGGCCCCCACGGUGCCCCAGGGCAGCCAGGGAACAAGCCCACACCCUCUAACACUACGUGACGGGAGCCGCUGGUAGGAGCCGACCUUUCCAGAAACCCGAGGCUGCGGCUGGACCUGUGAGGAGCCCAAUACUUGGGAGGUGGGAAAAUGAACAAACGCCUGGCAGUUCUCUCAUGACCAUGGUCACGUUCUGAGCUCAGGGGACACAUGAGCCAGACCCCAUCACCAGCUGGAAGGUUGAGAGGCCAGCGUCAAGGGGCUGUGUCUCCUCCAAGCUGAGUCCAGCCCUUGGUGGGGUCUGUCGUGGGCACCCUGGAGUCCCCCAGUGGUCUCCAGCUCACAUGUGCUCCUGGGCUGGGCAGGUAUGGUCCCACUCUGGGGUCAGUGUGCUCCUGGCAGGAAAUGGGGUCAUCGCUGCCUCUUGGGCUGGGCUCUGAGGGGAGGUGAUGGGAAGCCCCACAGGCAUGUGCCACCCAGGGCCUCUGCACACCUGUGUCUGCACCCGGGGCAUGGCUGGUCUGACGGGGAGAUGGUGAGGUCGCUGGGGGUGAGGCCUGACUCUCAGGAGCCUAUUUAACACUGGUGGCCUGGAGGUCAUUUGCUGAGAAAGCCUAGUGGUUGUCACUGAACGGUUCUCUCCCUUAAGACUUUCUCCACAGC
Molecule: long non-coding RNA, 1249 nt
Filed under: Bos indicus x Bos taurus (hybrid cattle)
Lineage: Eukaryota; Metazoa; Chordata; Mammalia; Artiodactyla; Bovidae
Description: lncRNA (ENSBIXG00000014566.1)
Source: RNAcentral